CAGGCCAUAUUGUGCUGCCUCA
This 22-nucleotide microRNA is filed under the name Chrysemys picta bellii (western painted turtle). RNAcentral's name for it is "Cpi-Mir-15-P1a_3p* (star (passenger))". Lineage: Eukaryota; Metazoa; Chordata; Testudines; Emydidae. RNAcentral also lists the same sequence under 24 other names. The record is from RNAcentral.